CUUCAAUGUCAAGUCAUAAUGGUUCCAUUUUAUUACGCGACUUGCUUGUGUUACUGAAAGUUGUGAACCAAAAUAUGUAUCUGCUUAAGGGCUUAUACUGUCUUUUAAUCAAUUAUGGUGGUGUGUGAACAGUUAACCGCUUUGAUAGCCUUUAUGGAAGAGCACAGGGAUCUGGCACUCGGUAAUUUAAGCCGCUCAACCGAAGGCCGAAUGCUUUCCAAAAAAUUAUGGGCAAAUUGUGCCCAAAUAUUGAAUAACACCGCAGGUGGUGGGCCCACAAAAUCCGCUGCUGAGUGGCGCACAUUCUACAAUGAGUAUAAGGCAAAAACUUUGAAAAAAAUAAAGUUAAAAAGAAGAGAAAUAUGUGCUCCAGGUGAGAUUCCUGUGAAACGAAUAGUGAUAACACCACUACAAGAGCGACUUUAUAAAAUCCUUAGAAACCCUCAAGUUCAAGAGGAACCCUUACUGGAGACAAGCUCACAUUGUCAACAAACACCGAGUAUUUGUGGUUGGGAGUCAAGUUCUCGUUGCCAACAAACACCACCUCGUUUUAAUACAUUUGUUGGUUUUUUCAGGACAUAAAGGCCCAAAAAGUCGAAUCGCCCAGCGGCUAUAAAGCGCCCUGUGCUUGUAAGCCACCCAGACAGAGACCUCGAAUAGAUGGUGAACCGGUUGAAGAAGGAUACAAUGAUUCAAUAGAAUCAGCUCAGACAUCACUAGAAGCUGCUCAAGCAACAUUAGAAAGGAUUGAAAAUUCUUAUGCUAGAGCAAUCAGCGAACAGGCACAAGCCACCAAUAGGCUGGCUGCAGCUAUUGAGGACGUAGCCCACGGUAGAGUGGCGACAGCUUUAGAACACAUUGCCAGUUCUCUUGCUACUUAUGUACAAACAGUAAAGGCAGAACCAGAAAGUGGGUCGGAAGAAUAGAAAAUAAAACUUGAGGAAUAUAUUUAUAACGUUCUAAUUCUAUGUUUAUAACCAAAACAGGAAUCAAGUCAUUAAAAUAUUUUGUGGAAUACAAAA
RNA transcript from Aricia agestis (brown argus), 1022 nucleotides. RefSeq lists it as uncharacterized. NCBI's taxonomy places the organism in Eukaryota, Metazoa, Arthropoda, Insecta, Lepidoptera, Lycaenidae. The record is from RefSeq and is a predicted model, not a curated record. The transcript has 6 exons.